Molecule: ribosomal RNA, 484 nt
Filed under: uncultured bacterium
Lineage: Bacteria
Description: partial 16S ribosomal RNA
Rfam family: Bacterial small subunit ribosomal RNA
Source: RNAcentral
AUUGAACGCUGGCGGCAGGCCUAACACAUGCAAGUCGAGCGGAUGAAGGGAGCUUGCUCCUGGAUUCAGCGGCGGACGGGUGAGUAAUGCCUAGGAAUCUGCCUGGUAGUGGGGGAUAACGUCCGGAAACGGGCGCUAAUACCGCAUACGUCCUGAGGGAGAAAGUGGGGGAUCUUCGGACCUCACGCUAUCAGAUGAGCCUAGGUCGGAUUAGCUAGUUGGUGGGGUAAAGGCCUACCAAGGCGACGAUCCGUAACUGGUCUGAGAGGAUGAUCAGUCACACUGGAACUUAGACACGGUCCAGACUCCUACGGGAGGCAGCAGUGGGGAAUAUUGGACAAUUGGCGAAAGCCUGAUCCAGCCAUGCCGCGUGUGUGAAGAAGGUCUUCGGAUUGUAAAGCACUUUAAGUUGGGAGGAAGGGCAGUAAGUUAAUACCUUGCUGUUUUGACGUUACCAACAGAAUAAGCACCGGCUAACUUCGUG